This 484-nucleotide ribosomal RNA is filed under the name uncultured soil bacterium. RNAcentral's name for it is "bacterial SSU rRNA". It matches the Rfam family "Bacterial small subunit ribosomal RNA", at positions 26 to 506 of the family's 1533-position model. The record is from RNAcentral.
AGAUUGAACGCUGGCGGCAGGCCUAACACAUGCAAGUCGAGCGGCAGCACGGGUACUUGUACCUGGUGGCGAGCGGCGGACGGGUGAGUAAUGCCUAGGAAUCUGCCUGGUAGUGGGGGAUAACGCUCGGAAACGGACGCUAAUACCGCAUACGUCCUACGGGAGAAAGCAGGGGACCUUCGGGCCUUGCGCUAUCAGAUGAGCCUAGGUCGGAUUAGCUAGUUGGUGAGGUAAUGGCUCACCAAGGCGACGAUCCGUAACUGGUCUGAGAGGAUGAUCAGUCACACUGGAACUGAGACACGGUCCAGACUCCGUACGGGAGGCAGCAGUGGGGAAUAUUGGACAAGUGGGCGAAAGCCUGAUCCAGCCAUGCCGUGUGUGUGAAGAAGGUCUUCGGAUUGUAAAGCAUUUAAGUUGGAGGAGGCAGUUACCUAAUACGUAUCUUGUUUCGACGUUACGACAGAAUAAGCACCGCUAACUCUGU